GGGCCCGCACAAGCGGUGGAGCAUGUGGUUUAAUUCGAUGAUACGCGAGGAACCUUACCAGGGCUUAAAUGUAAGUUGCAUGGAUCAGAGAUGAUCCUUUCUUCGGACCACUUACAAGGUGCUGCAUGGUUGUCGUCAGCUCGUGCCGUGAGGUGUCAGGUUAAGUCCUAUAACGAGCGCAACCCCUAUCGUUAGUUGCCAGCAAGUAAAGUUGGGUACUCUAGCGAGACUGCCGGUGCAAACCGAGAGGAAGGUGGGGAUGACGUCAAAUCAUCACGGCCCUUACGUCCUGGCUACACACGUGCUACAAUGGCCGGUACAGAGAGCAGCCACCACGCGAGUGGGAGCGAA
This 351-nucleotide ribosomal RNA is filed under the name uncultured bacterium. RNAcentral's name for it is "bacterial SSU rRNA". It matches the Rfam family "Bacterial small subunit ribosomal RNA", at positions 917 to 1271 of the family's 1533-position model. The record is from RNAcentral.